GGGUCAGUAGGUUGGUCGUGCCUCCGGUACGUACUGGUCUCACUGAUUCCUCCUUCCUGAAGAACCGUAAUGCCAUUAAUUUGGUGUUGCGGGGAAACAGGACUGUUACUUUGAAAAAAUUAGAGUGUUUAAAGCAAGCUAACGCUUGAAUACAUUAGCAUGAAAUAAUGAAAUAGGACGAUCGAUCCUAUUUUGUUGGUUUCUAGGAUUGACGUA
RNAcentral lists this ribosomal RNA (216 nucleotides) under Glomeromycotina sp. RNAcentral describes it as "partial small subunit ribosomal RNA". The stretch from base 40 to 216 matches the Rfam family "Eukaryotic small subunit ribosomal RNA", at positions 686 to 864 of the family's 1831-position model. Lineage: Eukaryota; Fungi; Glomeromycota. The record is from RNAcentral.